This 346-nucleotide long non-coding RNA is filed under the name Setaria viridis. RNAcentral's name for it is "long non-coding RNA (SVIR_LNC002831)". Lineage: Eukaryota; Viridiplantae; Streptophyta; Magnoliopsida; Poales; Poaceae. The record is from RNAcentral.
GGCAAAGUGACCUGGCCUUCCAUAGCUGUAGCAGGGUUGUGGAUUUUCCGGAGUAGCGGGAUUCUGAAACCCCGAGAAUUGUGAGUUUACCAGACGAGGAGCAUUCAUUGGGUUUCUUGCAAUCCAUGGCUAAGGUGGCCUCUGCUGGAACGAGGGCCUGUAAGCAGGUCGGGGAGGUCCUCGAUAGACAACCCUCAUUCUUUAAGGAGCACUCCCUUAUGCCCCAAAUUAAAUGUUCUUCCUCUUUAAGGACUCCUCCUUUUUAAGGGAUUCAUCCAGUGCCCUCAUCUUCUCCCCUGUCAUGAUCGCAACGCUCACAAUAGAGCUAUAAUUAGCAAAGGUGCAU